UUUAGCUAUGAUUGUCCAAACGCAAUUCUUGUUGAUAUCCAAUACUCAAGGGUUGUGACUGGACAUCGCGGCUCGA
Molecule: non-coding RNA, 76 nt
Organism: Drosophila persimilis
Lineage: Eukaryota; Metazoa; Arthropoda; Insecta; Diptera; Drosophilidae
Source: Rfam